This 1074-nucleotide ribosomal RNA is filed under the name uncultured bacterium. RNAcentral describes it as "bacterial SSU rRNA". It matches the Rfam family "Bacterial small subunit ribosomal RNA", at positions 457 to 1533 of the family's 1533-position model. The record is from RNAcentral.
AAUAGCGCGCUAAUGACGGUACCAGCAGAAGAAGCACCGGCUAACUACGUGCCAGCAGCCGCGGUAAUACGUAGGGUGCGAGCGUUAAUCGGAAUUACUGGGCGUAAAGCGUGCGCAGGCGGAUUGUUAAGCAAGAUGUGAAAUCCCCGGGCUUAACCUGGGAAUGGCAUUUUGAACUGGCAGUCUAGAGUGCGUCAGAGGGGGGGUGGAAUUCCACGUGUAGCAGUGAAAUGCGUAGAGAUGUGGAGGAACACCGAUGGCGAAGGCAGCCCCCUGGGAUGACACUGACGCUCAUGUACGAAAGCGUGGGUAGCAAACAGGAUUAGAUACCCUGGUAGUCCACGCCCUAAACGAUGUCAACUGGUUGUUGGGGGAGUGAAAUCCCUUAGUAACGAAGCUAACGCGUGAAGUUGACCGCCUGGGGAGUACGGUCGCAAGAUUAAAACUCAAAGGAAUUGACGGGGACCCGCACAAGCGGUGGAUGAUGUGGAUUAAUUCGAUGCAACGCGAAAAACCUUACCUACCCUUGACAUGUCCAGAACCCUGAAGAGAUUUGGGGGUGCCCGAAAGGGAAUUGGAACACAGGUGCUGCAUGGCUGUCGUCAGCUCGUGUCGUGAGAUGUUGGGUUAAGUCCCGCAACGAGCGCAACCCUUAUCAUUAGUUGCUACGCAAGGGCACUCUAAUGAGACUGCCGGUGACAAACCGGAGGAAGGUGGGGAUGACGUCAAGUCCUCAUGGCCCUUAUGGGUAGGGCUUCACACGUCAUACAAUGGUCGGUACAGAGGGUUGCCAAGCCGCGAGGUGGAGCCAAUCCCAGAAAGCCGAUCGUAGUCCGGAUUGUUCUCUGCAACUCGAGAGCAUGAAGUCGGAAUCGCUAGUAAUCGCGGAUCAGCAUGUCGCGGUGAAUACGUUCCCGGGUCUUGUACACACCGCCCGUCACACCAUGGGAGUGGAAUCUGCCAGAAGUAGGUAGCCUAACCGCAAGGGGGGCGCUUACCACGGUGGGUUUCAUGACUGGGGUGAAGUCGUAACAAGGUAACCGAAUCUCUGAAGAUCCGCGCGACCCCGUCCGC